This 289-nucleotide long non-coding RNA is filed under the name Homo sapiens (human). Its description in RNAcentral is "HSALNT0369496". The record is from RNAcentral. Lineage: Eukaryota; Metazoa; Chordata; Mammalia; Primates; Hominidae.
ACAUCCUUAUGCUCUAAAAAAAAAUGAUGUUCUCAUCUGUAAAAGGAGAAAAGAAACUAUUUCAAGGUCUAUAAACAUGAGUGGAGACACAUGCUCAUAAACACAUCAAGUAUAUGCUUACAAAAGCUUUGGAAAACCAUGAGAAUGGGUGGAGAGUUUAAUGGAAGGGUGGAAGAGAAUAGAAUUUUGGAUAGAGAACCAAAAAGAAAUCAGAGAAAAACAGUCAAAAAUGUUUAAUUUGUUCAUUUCAUUGAUUCAUUCAAUAAUCAGCAUCAAAUAUUCAACUUUU